CAGGCAGGACUGGCUUAAGACUUCUUCUCCAUCUGUAGGCUGAACCCGUUAUCCUCAUUUUGCAGAAGCAGAAACUGAGGCUCAGAAGCGUUGGGCCACACGCAUGCAUUGCCUUUCCCAGGUAGCUGGUGCUCCAUCCCCAGUAAUAAGGUGCAUUGGAAAUUCAAAUUUCGGAAUAAGCUGACUGCCAAGAGGGUCCUCCCCCUGUCGGGGCCUGUCUGAGCCCCUUAGUCCAUGGGAAAUUCACAGAGAAGGGAACGGUCACUUUUCCUGCACCUGAGAAGAGACAGAGUCUCACUGCGUUGCCCAGGCUGGUC
Cercocebus atys (sooty mangabey) is the source of this 317-nucleotide long non-coding RNA. RefSeq lists it as uncharacterized. The transcript has 3 exons. Lineage: Eukaryota; Metazoa; Chordata; Mammalia; Primates; Cercopithecidae. The record is from RefSeq and is a predicted model, not a curated record.